GGAAUCUUGCGCAAUGGGCGAAAGCCUGACGCAGCGACGCCGCGUGGGGGAUGACGGCCUUCUGGGUUGUAAACUACUUUUCUACAGGAAGAAAAAGACUAUGCGUAGUCAAUUGACGGUACUGUAGGAAUAAGCACCGGCUACCUCCGUGCCAGCAGCCGCGGUAAUACGGAGGGUGCGAGCGUUGUCCGGAUUUAUUGGGUUUAGAGGGUGCGUAGGCGGCUCUUUAAGUCAGUGGUGAAAGCCCGCAGCUUAACUGUGGAACUGCCAUUGAUACUGGAGAGCUUGAGUACGGUUGAAGUAGGCGGAAUUUAUGGUGUAGCGGUGAAAUGCAUAGAUACCAUAAAGAACACCGAUAGCGUAGGCAGCUUACUAAGCCGUAACUGACGCUGAGGCACGAAAGCAUGGGGAGCG
RNAcentral lists this ribosomal RNA (414 nucleotides) under uncultured bacterium. Its description in RNAcentral is "bacterial SSU rRNA". It matches the Rfam family "Bacterial small subunit ribosomal RNA", at positions 358 to 770 of the family's 1533-position model. The record is from RNAcentral.